Hydractinia symbiolongicarpus is the source of this 318-nucleotide long non-coding RNA. RefSeq lists it as uncharacterized. The record is from RefSeq and is a predicted model, not a curated record. Lineage: Eukaryota; Metazoa; Cnidaria; Hydrozoa; Anthoathecata; Hydractiniidae. The transcript is spliced from 3 exons.
GAAAAAACUUAGCAAAAGUUGAACAUGUCCAACUUUUAAAAAACUUAUAAAAUUGAAAGACAGUUGUAUAUCUUUCCUGUUUACACGCCGAAAGACACAAACGCAAAAGACAAAUUAUUUUGAAGAUGUUGAUUGCUGAUUCAAAUAAAAGAAAAAAUAAAGAAGAAAAAAAAACGAAAACUUCCAAGAUACUUGACGUGAUCCACGAAAGGCGUUCAGUCACAAUUAUGUCAAAGCGACGAGUUCGAAAAAGUGGUAAAAAGUCGCGAACAGUUGUAAAAAUAUAACAAAGAAUAUAAAAAUUAUAAUGUUUUUUCC